CCUACGGGAGGCAGCAGUAGGGAAUAUUGGUCAAUGGGUGAGAGCCUGAACCAGCCAUGCCGCGUGCAGGAAGACGGCCUUCUGGGUUGUAAACUGCUUUUAUCUGGGGAUAAAAAGCCCAUGCGUGGGACAUUGAAGGUACCAGAUGAAUAAGCACCGGCUAACUACGUGCCAGCAGCCGCGGUAAUACGUAGGGUGCAAGCGUUGUCCGGAUUUAUUGGGUUUAAAGGGUGCGUAGGCGGUCUAUUAAGUCAGUGGUGAAAUCCAACAGCUCAACUGUUGAUGUGCCAAUGAUACUGAUGGACUUGAGUACAGACGAGGUAGGCGGAAUUGACAGUGUAGCGGUGAAAUGCAUAGAUAUUGUCAAGAACACCGAUAGCGAAGGCAGCUUGCUAGCCUGUAACUGACGCUGAGGCACGAAGGUAUGGGGAUCAAACAGGAUUAGAUACCCUGGUAGUCCAUACAGUAAACGAUGAUUACUCGAUGUUGGCGAUACACAGUCAGCGUCUUAGCGAAAGCGAUAAGUAAUCCACCUGGGGAGUACGCUGGCAACAGUGAAACUCAAAGGAAUUGACGGGG
This 579-nucleotide ribosomal RNA is filed under the name uncultured bacterium. Its description in RNAcentral is "bacterial SSU rRNA". It matches the Rfam family "Bacterial small subunit ribosomal RNA", at positions 338 to 918 of the family's 1533-position model. The record is from RNAcentral.